RNAcentral lists this ribosomal RNA (460 nucleotides) under uncultured bacterium. RNAcentral's name for it is "partial 16S ribosomal RNA". It matches the Rfam family "Bacterial small subunit ribosomal RNA", at positions 338 to 795 of the family's 1533-position model. The record is from RNAcentral.
CCUACGGGAGGCUGCAGUGAGGAAUAUUGGUCAAUGGUCGGGAGACUGAACCAGCCAAGCCGCGUGAGGGAUGAAGGUACAGAGUAUCGUAAACCUCUUUUGUCAGGGAACAAAGGCGGGGACGCGUCCCCGGAUGAGUGUACCUGAAGAAAAAGCAUCGGCUAACUCCGUGCCAGCAGCCGCGGUAAUACGGAGGAUGCGAGCGUUAUCCGGAUUUAUUGGGUUUAAAGGGAGCGUAGGCCGCAUGUCAAGCGUGCUGUGAAAUGUCCUGGCUCAACCCGGGCGUUGCAGCGCAUACUGGCGGGCUUGAGUCCGCGGAAGGCAGGCGGAAUUCGUGGUGUAGCGGUGAAAUGCUUAGAUAUGACGAAGAACCCCGAUUGCGAAGGCAGCUUGCUGCAGCGGAACUGACGCUGAUGCUCGAAAGCGCGGGUAUCGAACAGGAUUAGAUACCCGAGUAGUC